CUGAAGCAAGUCUUCAUUCUUACUGCAUACAUUUUUAAAUGCAGCAGUAAAGUUUUAUAAAUCGAAAUGACAUCAUUUAAUGAAAGGGAACUGAAUGUUUACAUGCAGCUGUUAUUAACUGGAAGGCAGUACAUAAACACUCGGGAAAAGAUAAAGGUUGGAGCCAUCAAAACAAGCAAACACCCUCGCAAAGUCGGGGCAGACUGAAGAGGAAGCCUGAAGAGGAUCUCAUAGGGACAGCAAAUAUCAAGAAGGUGUUUAUAAAGAAAAGAAAUACCUAGUUUGGAACUUAUCCACUUACAGUCUUACUGAAUGUGAGAACAAUGUGUUAAAAUUUCACCAACCAGCAUGUCUUUACUUGGCCGAAACCUGCACAGUCUGAAGAGCAGUCUAAUACCAACCACAAUCCGAGAUUUAUGAGAGAAAUCUAUGGGCAGUCAGAGGUACCACCAACUGCCUACCAGCAGAGGAGAGGGCGAGUUCAGUCGUUUGAGUGGCAUGAGAGACCGAGGGCGGAGUAUCGGGUACAGUCUGAAGAGACGACCAAAGCACUCAGGCAGGAAGAGGAAACAAUGAAUCAACAGCCAAGAGGGAGUGUCCUUUCACCAAAUGAAGCACAUUCUGUCUAGUCUACACCAAUGGAAAUGCCAUUGUCUUCGGCAACCAAUAAUAAGGCAAAAACUGCCUCCACAACUACAGUCAUGGUAAUAUGGAAGCAGGACAACAACAGGUUUUUCCUGUUCUACCCCUACCGUUUUGAGCAGGGAGAAGAAAAUCUGUGGAACAGGACAUCUACAGGGGUCAGAAGUGAAAAGAAG
Molecule: long non-coding RNA, 818 nt
Organism: Protopterus annectens (West African lungfish)
Lineage: Eukaryota; Metazoa; Chordata; Ceratodontiformes; Protopteridae
Exons: 3
Source: RefSeq, a predicted model, not a curated record